This is a long non-coding RNA of Brassica napus (rape), 1680 nucleotides long. RefSeq lists it as uncharacterized. The transcript is spliced from 2 exons. NCBI's taxonomy places the organism in Eukaryota, Viridiplantae, Streptophyta, Magnoliopsida, Brassicales, Brassicaceae. The record is from RefSeq and is a predicted model, not a curated record.
UCUAAGAAUCAUCUUAGUGAUGACACGUGGGUUCAAAAAGAAGUUGUAAUGUUUCACAAAUAAUAUAUCGGGGAUUUUUCUCUCUUCCUGUUGCUGCCACAUCAAUAAUCACUCCUCUCAGAUUGACAUGUGUCCUAUUUUUUUAUUCUCUUCAUUACUCUUAUUUGUGGACUUAACAAUUGAACUAAAUGGGCUUACGAAUUGAAUGUUAUCUAUCUGACUGGUCAAACCCAUUAUUUUUUUUUGUAACACGGUCAAACCCAUUAUCUGAACUCCGUAAACUACCUUUCCUCUUCGUCUUCAACAAUUACUUCGCUUUCUAGGGUUCAUGGUGUUUUCAGCUCAUGUUCAUAAUCCGACCAUGGAGUUUCUGGAAGGUGAUGGGACUUUUAACGGUGAAUAUCUAGAGUGAAUUGUUGUUCGUGUCGUUUGGAUUUACGCCGGGUAAGGGGAAUUGAUGUUCGUGUCAUGAAUGACCAUCUUAACUCCUUCAUUCCACUUACGAUUCCUCAUUCAAUUCACUGCAUCUCCCUUGACUCUCAGUCGUUGAAUCUCUAUGUAUAAAAAGGUGAGCCUUCAUCCCCAGAACAUCACCCUUUCAUUCCUUACAACCCAAAAAACUUCCGUAGAGCAAAAUGGCGAACUCAUCUGUCCUCCUUGCUGACAAUCAAAACACAUAAGAGUUGAUUUGUUGCAGACCUUGCGGGGAAUGGUAACAUCAAAUAUGUGUUCUUUACAAUCUACAUAAAUACAUUGACACAACCGCAUACUUCUUUUGAUUGUGUCAGUUGCUGUUUUUUCUUCUCAAUUUUCAUACUUCACUAUUACAAGACUCAAUCAAGUCUGGCUGAUGUAGUUUAUCACUGCAACUGUUUAACUUUGUUCCAAAAUAUCUGUUCUGUUGAUACUUGAUGUUAACUUUCUGUGUGGCAAGAGUAACCAAUAUUUGACAUAGUGCCGAGGCCUAUGCUCGAGUCAGAGCGCAUUUGAUUUCACAAUAGAUUUUCUUACAUGGGUCCGACAAUAUGGUUUCACCUAAAUAGUUCUAGCUUUAUGAAUGAAUCUGAACCAGAGCCGGUUGGUAAUGUUUGUUAAUUAGUCCGAUCUAUGAGCUUUUUUGUCACAUUUCAACUGAGAUGUUAACUUGGUAGUUCUUCUUGGACACGUGAGAGCAGGAGCCCAACCGAAAUAACCAUCUCCACCAAUGACUAGAACACUUAGAUUUUAAUGAUGAGUUAUUGGUAGAUGUUUCAGGUUGCGGUUGCUCGGAAAUGACAACUUCUUCUCUUCUGUUUCUCUUGGAAGACAAGUACUUUGAGAGAAUAUCUGAAAUGACUUUAGGAUUGAAGGUCUGCCUUAAACCAAACGGUUUAACCAAACGAGUUAGGCAAGAGGAGCACAUGGGAGGUUAGGCAGGUCCAGUGGUAGAUAAUCUUCUGUAGCUGUUUUCUUAACGUGGGUGAUGAUAUUGGAGGAGAAGCCGACAGAGCUGCUGCUGAUAUCGGUUUGUAGACAAAUUUUAACUUUACACAAGACAAAUUCGACUAUGAUAUAUACUUAUAACAUAUCCAAAUAUUCUGAUAUAAAGUUACACGACCUUUGAUAUUUUUCUGCGUAUAACCAGUAUGCAACUUACAGAGAUAUAAUUUAUGUUCAAUUUAUAUUAUUUUAGUUAUAAUU